AAACUGCGAAUGGCUCAUUAAAUCAGUUAUCGUUUAUUUGAUAGUACCUUACUACUUGGAUAACCGUGGUAAUUCUAGAGCUAAUACAUGCUAAAAACCCCGACUUCGGGAGGGGUGUAUUUAUUANAUAAAAAACCAACGCCCUCACGGGCUCCUUGGUGAUUCAUGAUAACUUAACGGAUCGCAUGGNCUUGCGCCGGCGACGGUUCAUUCAAAUUUCUGCCCUAUCAACUUUCNAUUGUAGGGUAUUGGCCUACAAUGGUAUUAACGGGUAACGGGGAGUUAGGGCUCGACUCCGGAGAGGGAGCCUGAGAGACGGCUACCACAUCCAAGGAANGCAGCAGGCGCGCAAAUUACCCAAUCCCGACACGGGGAGGUAGUGACAAUAAAUACUGAUACNGGGCUCUUAUGGGUCUCGUAAUUGGAAUGAGUACAAUUUAAAUACCUUAACGAGGAACAAUUGGAGGGNAAGUCUGGUGGGANAACCCGCGUUUCACGACGCUGACGCCAGACAGAGUGGGGGCCCCUCGUCAAGGCGAGGGGGGGCCCCCGCUAGUCGAGCACCUGCAAGCUUGGUAGGGAGGUGCCGGCAAGGUAACCUGGUACGGGGGAGUCUUGUGUUGUGACGAUCCCGUGGCGAGCUCCGAGAGCCGCUGUAACGCGCGCAAAGGUACCGGCCAGUGGCUCUGGCUCGAGGGACGCGCUCAUUCCCAUGCGAAAGCAUGUCCCCACGCGAAGCACCUACCUUGCGAUGCGUGGGGGGUGCCGACCGAGGCCACCCGAUGGAGGUGGCAUGGCGGCGCCGGAAGGCCGGUGCGCUCGCACGUUGCGUGGGCUCGCCCACCCGUGCCCGCGCAUGGCCUCGCAGAAAAAGGCCAGCAGCCGCGGUAAUUCCAGCUCCAAUAGCGUAUAUUAAAGUUGUUGCAGUUAAAAAGCUCGUAGUUGAACCUUGGGCCUGGCUGGCCGGUCCGCCUCACCGCGUGCACUGGUCCGGCCGGGCCUUUCCUUCCGGAGAGCCCCAUGCCCUUCACUGGGUGUGGUGGGGAACCGGGACUUUUACUUUGAAAAAAUUAGAGUGUUCAAAGCAGGCCUUUGCUCGAAUACGUUAGCAUGGAAUAAUAGAAUAGGACGUGCGGUCCUAUUUUGUUGGUUUCUAGGACCGCCGUAAUGAUUAAUAGGGAUAGUCGGGGCCAUCAGUAUUCAAUUGUCAGAGGUGAAAUUCUUGGAUUUAUUGAAGACUAACUACUGCGAAAGCAUUUGGCAAGGAUGUUUUCAUUAAUCAGUGAACGAAAGUUAGGGGAUCGAAGACGAUCAGAUACCGUCGUAGUCUUAACCGUAAACUAUGCCGACUAGGGAUCGGGCGAUGUUAUUAUUUUGACUCGCUCGGCACCUUACGAGAAAUCAAAGUUU
Molecule: ribosomal RNA, 1410 nt
Filed under: Ericboehmia curtisii
Lineage: Eukaryota; Fungi; Ascomycota; Dothideomycetes; Hysteriales; Hysteriaceae
Description: bacterial SSU rRNA
Rfam family: Eukaryotic small subunit ribosomal RNA
Source: RNAcentral